GUGGCUGCUUUGCUCUGUGGUACCUGGUGGCCCUGCCCAUGACCUUAGAUGCUGCAUCUGGGAUGUGAAUCUAAGACCUACAGCAGAAAAAAUCAUCCCAUCCCAGAGCAGGUCAGACCAAGCAGUGGACACACUUUGCCCCUUCUGUGACAUCAGAGCAGAGGAGAGAGCUGUCCUCAGCAGCAGAUCUCUGGAGUUAAGAGUCCCACCCUCAUAAUGACCCUGGCAGCAUAGGUGCAGGGUUUCCCACCUGUCCUGAGGAGGAUCGCCAGCAGACAUCAGUUCUUAUAAUGUCUGAUUCCAGCGCAGCUAUAAGGAACACAGUGUCCCCGAAUAUCACCUCCCUAGAAGCAGAGCCCCAGAGCAGUGGGCUUUAGGCAUCAGGCAAUCUGAACUACACCCAGGCUAGGCGGAUGCUGAGAGCUGUCUGAAUAAUACAGAACCAAUCAGGAUGGAGUUUGGAGGAAAGUCAGGAAGAUCCCUAAGGACAGUCUCACUUCUGCUUUAGCACAUCUGAGCGCAUCUUCCAAGGGAGGCCGACUGUGUGAGAUCUCACUGCAGGAAGUUAGCUGGAACAGUCCUUCUCGUGGCUCAACAUUGUCCUGCUCUGUGGCAUCAGCUGGAGAGCGUUGGACCCCACACCACGCGGAAGCUGUUAAGGUACACUGGACCCAGCCCAAGGGCAGGUGAAGCUCCUGAUGUACAAGUUUUUCCUGGUAUGGCUAUGGCUUCAUUAAUGUAGUCAUGAAUCCAGAAUGGCUGUUUGAACUUGAGAAAUGCUAUUUGGGGCCAAGAGUACUUCUUUGUGCCCU
Molecule: long non-coding RNA, 812 nt
Filed under: Mus spicilegus (steppe mouse)
Lineage: Eukaryota; Metazoa; Chordata; Mammalia; Rodentia; Muridae
Description: lncRNA (ENSMSIG00000008501.1)
Source: RNAcentral